This 154-nucleotide non-coding RNA is filed under the name uncultured Cetobacterium sp. The record is from RNAcentral. Lineage: Bacteria; Fusobacteriati; Fusobacteriota; Fusobacteriia; Fusobacteriales; Fusobacteriaceae.
GUAAUGGUUCUAUAGAUUAAAAGGGAAUUGAGUGUAAAUCUCAAACGGUCCCGCCACUGUAUAGAGGACAAAAGCAGUAAUACCACUGAAAUGAAAAGUUUUGGGAAGGGCUGUUAGUAGGAUGAAUCUAAGUCAGGAGACCUGCCAUUAUUAA